This 253-nucleotide ribosomal RNA is filed under the name uncultured bacterium. RNAcentral's name for it is "partial 16S ribosomal RNA". It matches the Rfam family "Bacterial small subunit ribosomal RNA", at positions 524 to 776 of the family's 1533-position model. The record is from RNAcentral.
UACGUAGGGUGCGAGCGUUAAUCGGAAUUACUGGGCGUAAAGCGUGCGCAGGCGGCUUUGCAAGACAGAUGUGAAAUCCCCGGGCUUAACCUGGGAACUGCAUUUGUGACUGCAUGGCUAGAGUGCGGCAGAGGGGGAUGGAAUUCCGCGUGUAGCAGUGAAAUGCGUAGAUAUGCGGAGGAACACCGAUGGCGAAGGCAAUCCCCUGGGCCUGCACUGACGCUCAUGCACGAAAGCGUGGGGAGCAAACAGG